GACGAACGCUGGCGGCGUGCUUAACACAUGCCAGUCGAACGGAAAGGCCCUGCUUUUGUGGGGUGCUCGAGUGGCGAACGGGUGAGUAACACGUGAGUAACCUGCCCUUGACUUUGGGAUAACUUCAGGAAACUGGGGCUAAUACCGGAUAGGAGCUCCUGCUGCAUGGUGGGGGUUGGAAAGUUUCGGCGGUUGGGGAUGGACUCGCGGCUUAUCAGCUUGUUGGUGGGGUAGUGGCUUACCAAGGCUUUGACGGGUAGCCGGCCUGAGAGGGUGACCGGCCACAUUGGGACUGAGAUACGGCCCAGACUCCUACGGGAGGCAGCAGUGGGAAAUAUUGCACAAUGGGCGGAAGCCUGAUGCAGCAACGCCGCGUGCGGGAUGACGGCCUUCGGGUUGUAAACCGCUUUCGCCUGUGACGAAGCGUGAGUGACGGUAAUGGGUAAAGAAGCACCGGCUAACUACGUG
RNAcentral lists this ribosomal RNA (468 nucleotides) under uncultured bacterium. RNAcentral's name for it is "partial 16S ribosomal RNA". It matches the Rfam family "Bacterial small subunit ribosomal RNA", at positions 28 to 507 of the family's 1533-position model. The record is from RNAcentral.